GCCGCCGUAGCUCAGUGGUAGAGCACACCCUUGGUAAGGGUGGGGCCGAUAGUUCAAUUCUAUUCGGCGGCACCA
This 75-nucleotide transfer RNA is filed under the name Alphaproteobacteria bacterium. RNAcentral describes it as "tRNA-Thr". It matches the Rfam family "tRNA". From Rfam's summary of the family: Transfer RNA (tRNA) molecules are approximately 80 nucleotides in length. Their secondary structure includes four short double-helical elements and three loops (D, anti-codon, and T loops). The record is from RNAcentral. Lineage: Bacteria; Pseudomonadati; Pseudomonadota; Alphaproteobacteria.